AUUGAACGCUGGCGGCAGGCCUAACACAUGCAAGUCGAACGGUAACAGGAAGCAGCUUGCUGCUUUGCUGACGAGUGGCGGACGGGUGAGUAAUGUCUGGGAAACUGCUCGAUGGAGGGGGAUAACUACUGGAAACGGUAGCUAAUACCGCAUAACGUCGCAAGACCAAAGAGGGGGACCUUAGGGCCUCUUGCCAUCGGAUGUGCCCAGAUGGGAUUAGCUAGUAGGUGGGGUAACGGCUCACCUAGGCGACGAUCCCUAGCUGGUCUGAGAGGAUGACCAGCCACACGGGAACGGAGACGCGGUCCAGACUCCUACGGGAGGCAGCAGUGGGGAAUAUUGCACAGUGGGCGCAAGCCUGAUGCAGCCAUGGCGCGUGUAUGAAGAAGGCCUUCGGGUUGUAAAGUACUUUCAGCGGGGAGGAAGGGAGUAAAGUUAAUACCUUUGCUCAUUGACGUUACCCGCAGAAGAAGCACCGGCUAACUCCGUG
This 490-nucleotide ribosomal RNA is filed under the name uncultured bacterium. RNAcentral describes it as "partial 16S ribosomal RNA". It matches the Rfam family "Bacterial small subunit ribosomal RNA", at positions 30 to 507 of the family's 1533-position model. The record is from RNAcentral.